Molecule: ribosomal RNA, 1968 nt
Filed under: human gut metagenome
Description: bacterial LSU rRNA
Rfam family: Bacterial large subunit ribosomal RNA
Source: RNAcentral
UCAAGCUACAAAGGGCAUAUGGUGGAUGCCUUGGCGCCAUGAGCCGAAGAAGGACGCGAUAAGCUGCGAUAAGCCGCGGGGAACUGCAAAUAAGUAUAGAUCCGCGGAUUUCCGAAUGGGGAAACCCGGCAGUCGUAAUGGGCUGUCACCCGAGAGGGAGGGAACCCGGUGAACUGAAACAUCUAAGUAACCGGAGGAAGAGAAAUCAAACGAGAUGCCCGUAGUAGCGGCGAGCGAAGGGGGCAUAGCCCAAACCGUGGGCCUUCGGGCCUGCGGGGUUGUGGACCGGCGUAAACGGACGAGUUGCUAGUAGAAUUACCUGGAAAGGUAAGCGAGAGAGGGUAAAAGCCCCGUAUACGAAAGCGACGAGGACGCGGCCGGGAUCCAGAGUACCACGGAGCACGAGGAAUUCUGUGGGAAGCAGGGGGGACCACCCUCCAAGGCUAAACACUCCAUGGCGACCGAUAGCGCAGAGUACCAUGAGGGAAAGGUGAAAAGAACCCCGGGAGGGGAGUGAAAGAGAACCUGAAACCGUAUGUCUACAAGCAGUCGGAGCGAAAGCGACGGCGUGCCUAUUGAAGAAUGAGCCAACGAGUUACGUGCGCCAGCGAGGUUAAGCAGAAGAUGCGGAGCCGCAGGGAAACCGAGUCUGAAGAGGGCGAGGAGUUGGUGUACGUAGACCCGAAACUGCAGUGAUCUACGCAUGGCCAGAUUGAAACGCAGGUAAAAUUGCGCGGAGGAUCGAACCGGGACAUGUUGAAAAAUGUUCGGAUGAGCUGUGCGUAGGGGUGAAAUUCCAAUCGAACGCAGAGAUAGCUGGUUCUCCUCGAAAUAGCUUUAGGGCUAGCCUCAGGCAGUAAGCGCAGGCGGUAGAGCACUGAUCGGGAUAGGGGCCGUAAUGGCUACCGAACCCUGUCAAACUCCGAAUGGCAGCGCUGCAGAGCCUGGGAGUCAGACUACGAGUGAUAAGAUCCGUGGUCAAAAGGGAAACAGCCCAGACCAUCAGCUAAGGUCCCCAAUGCCGUACUAAGUGGAAAAGGAUGUGGGGUUUCAUAAACAACCAGGAUGUUGGCUCAGAAGCAGCCACCAUUUAAAGAGUGCGUAAUAGCUCACUGGUCGAGAGACCCUGCGCCGAAGAUUCCCGGGGCUAAAGUACGGAACCGAAGCUAUGGAUGCAUCCCUCGGGAUGCGUGGUAGAGGAGCGUUCCCAUCGGGCAGAAGUCGUUCUGGAAGGAACGGUGGACUGGUGGGAAGUGAGAAUGUUGGCAUGAGUAGCGAAAAGAAUGGUGAGAAUCCAUUCCACCGAAAACACAAGGAUUCCUGAGCAACGAUCGUCGUCUCAGGGUAAGUCGGGACCUAAUCCGAGGCAUGGAGCGUAGGAGAUGGACAUCCGGUUGAAAUUCCGGAACCGGCAGGAAUCGUCAAGAGCAAGGGAGUGACACAGGAAGGCAGGCGCGCAUGAGAUUGGAAGUUCAUGUGCAAGCGUGCGACGCGCGGGACAGGCAAACCCAUCCCGCACAAGCGCCAGGCGUGACGCGGAGGGAACCGCGAGGGACCCGAAGGCGCUGGGCCUACACUGUCGAGAAAAGCUUCUAGCAAGAGACCUGCCGCCCGUACCGUAAACCGACACAGGUGUGUGGGGAGAGAAUCCUAAGGUGCGCGGGAGAACCCUCGUUAAGGAACUCGGCAAAAUGUACCCGUAACUUCGGGAUAAGGGUAGCCGUCGGGCGUGAAGGGACCAGCUCCUGGAGCGCCGGAUGGCCGCAGAGAAGAGGCCCAAGCGACUGUUUACCAAAAACUUAGGUGCCUGCCAAAGCGAAAGCUGACGUAUAGGUGCUGACACCUGCCCAGUGCCGGAAGGUUAAGGAAGGAGGUCCGGGUUCGACCCAAAGCCUUCGACCGAAGCCCCGGUGAACGGCGGCCGUAACUAUAACGGUCCUAAGGUAGCGAAAUUCCUUGUCGGGUAAG